UGCCAGCAGCCGCGGUAAUACGGAGGGGGCAAGCGUUGUUCGGAAUUACUGGGCGUAAAGGGCGCGUAGGCGGCCAAGUCAGUCAGGCGUGAAAGCCCAGGGCUCAACCCUGGAAUUGCGCUUGAUACUGCUUGGCUCGAGACCGGAAGAGGGUAGUGGAAUUCCCAGUGUAGAGGUGAAAUUCGUAGAUAUUGGGAAGAACACCAGUGGCGAAGGCGGCUACCUGGUCCGGAUCUGACGCUGAGGCGCGAAAGCGUGGGGAGCAAACAGGAUUAGAUA
This 279-nucleotide ribosomal RNA is filed under the name uncultured bacterium. RNAcentral describes it as "partial 16S ribosomal RNA". It matches the Rfam family "Bacterial small subunit ribosomal RNA", at positions 506 to 784 of the family's 1533-position model. The record is from RNAcentral.